GUUGGUGAACCAGCGGAGGGAUCAUUACUGAGUUACCGCUCUACAACCCUUUGUGAACAUACCUAACUGUUGCUUCGGCGGGCAGAGGUUCCCUCGCGGAACCCCUCCCGGUGACGCCCUCACGGGCGUCGCGCCCGCCGGAGGAUACCAAACUCUAUUUUAACGACGUUUCUUCUGAGUGGCACAAGCAAAUAAUUAAAACUUUUAACAACGGAUCUCUUGGUUCUG
Molecule: unclassified non-coding RNA, 228 nt
Filed under: rhizosphere metagenome
Description: partial ribosomal RNA internal transcribed spacer region
Source: RNAcentral